This 309-nucleotide long non-coding RNA is filed under the name Mus musculus (house mouse). RNAcentral's name for it is "predicted gene, 56739". Lineage: Eukaryota; Metazoa; Chordata; Mammalia; Rodentia; Muridae. The record is from RNAcentral.
UUUUUUUUUUUUUUUUUUUUUUUUUUUUUGGAGCUAUGUAGAAUUUGCUUCCUGACCAAGUGGAGAUAUGACCUCAAUAGGACAAGGAAGUCAAGCCGAAACAGUACUUGGAACUGAGCAAGCUGUACACAGCUCCUGUAGAAACAAGUGCCCUUUUUAUGAUCAGAAAAAAAAAAAUGGGUUAUUUAAUUGGAAGAAAGUCAAAUAUUAAAAGUAAUAAUAAUAACAGAUUAAAAAGUUAUUGUCCCUUGUGUAUAUUUUCAAAUGCUCAAUAAAGUCUAUGGUACUGUUUAAUUAAGAAUAUAUGAA